AAUACAAUAAUUCAUUUUCUCAUAGCUUUGGAGAGUAGAAAAUCCAAGAUCAAGGUGCUGGUCAAUUUGUUUCCUGCAAAUCAGUACUAUACGGACAUUCAUGAGCCAGUCUCACCCAGUUUUUCCAACUACCAGUAAGACUGGAGAAGAUAAAUGGAUUUUUUUCCUAGCUUCUCAACAAACUUCUUACUUUAUUGUGAAGUGUCGAAGAAAGUAUUCAUGAAAUCCAUAACCAUUGAAAAUUCAAAUCAGUGAACAUCAGGUGAAGAAUGUAUUUUUCCUCUCACUGAUGUAACUGAUCUGAAGAAGAAAAAAAAAAAGGAGCUGGUGAAAGAAGAUGAGGAGGAGGAUAUCUAAAUAUCAUUAAAAUGUAGAAAAACUUGUAUUAAAUUUACCAAUUAACAUACCCCAAAUUUGUGCAGAUACGUAAAAAUUCAUAUGAAAGUGUCUUUUGUGAAAAUAAUCACAGUAUUGUUUAAAAAGAGCUAUCCAGUCCAGCAGUAUCUGCUGUAUCAUUUACCAGCUACCUGCUGGAUAGAAGAUAAUUGAUCUCUUGUGCCUUAGUUUCUCAACCUGUGAAAUCAUAAUUCUAGCACCUGCUUCUCUUCUGCAUGUACAUUGUGGCCCAUAAAACUGCACAGUGACAUUUCUUGAGACACUCCUGGGAGCAAAGACAAAAAGUGGAAACACUCUAAUGCCUAGUGUUAAUGUUCUGAGGUCUGCCAAGGUUAUAGGGUCAAAUGUGUGAAAAGCUCUCUAGUGGAGGGAAUCUCACACU
Talpa occidentalis (Iberian mole) is the source of this 778-nucleotide long non-coding RNA. RefSeq lists it as uncharacterized. The record is from RefSeq and is a predicted model, not a curated record. The transcript is spliced from 4 exons. Lineage: Eukaryota; Metazoa; Chordata; Mammalia; Eulipotyphla; Talpidae.